GACGAACGCUGGCGGCGUGCUUAACACAUGCAAGUCGAACGGAAAGGCCCUGCUUUUGUGGGGUGCUCGAGUGGCGAACGGGUGAGUAACACGUGAGUAACCUGCCCUUGACUUUGGGAUAACUUCAGGAAACUGGGGCUAAUACCGGAUAGGAGCUCCUGCUGCAUGGUGGGGGUUGGAAAGUUUCGGCGGUUGGGGAUGGACUCGCGGCUUAUCAGCUUGUUGGUGGGGUAGUGGCUUACCAAGGCUUUGACGGGUAGCCGGCCUGAGAGGGUGAACGGCCACAAUGGGACUGAGAUACGGCCCAGACUCCUACGGGAGGCAGCAGUGGGGAAUAUUGCACAAUGGGCGGAAGUCUGAUGCAGCAACGCCGCGUGCGGGAUGACGGCCUUCGGGUUGUAAACCGCUUUCGCCUGUGACGAAGCGUGAGUGACGGUAAUGGGUAAAGAAGCACCGGCUAACUACGUG
This 468-nucleotide ribosomal RNA is filed under the name uncultured bacterium. RNAcentral's name for it is "partial 16S ribosomal RNA". It matches the Rfam family "Bacterial small subunit ribosomal RNA", at positions 28 to 507 of the family's 1533-position model. The record is from RNAcentral.